GAUGAAGAACGCAGCAAAAUGCGAUAAGUAAUGUGAAUUGCAGAAUUCAGUGAAUCAUCGAAUCUUUGAACGCACAUUGCGCCCGCCAGUAUUCUGGCGGGCAUGCCUGUUCGAGCGUCAUUUCAACCCUCAAGCACAGCUUGGUGUUGGGACUCGCGUUAAUUCGCGUUCCCCAAAUUGAUUGGCGGUCACGUCGAGCUUCCAUAGCGUAGUAGUAAAACCCUCGUUACUGGUAAUCGUCGCGGCCACGCCGUUAAACCCCAACUUCUGAAUGUUGACCUCGGAUCAGGUAGGAAUACCCGCUGAACUUAAGCAUAUCAAUAAGCGGGGA
This 331-nucleotide unclassified non-coding RNA is filed under the name soil metagenome. Its description in RNAcentral is "partial contains 5.8S ribosomal RNA, internal transcribed spacer 2, and large subunit ribosomal RNA". The stretch from base 1 to 120 matches the Rfam family "5.8S ribosomal RNA", at positions 35 to 154 of the family's 154-position model. The record is from RNAcentral.